GAGAUGAGCAUCCUCUACAGAUCAUGUAGGCAGGAGUGUCCUCCUCAAGGCAACAUCUGCCAAGUCCCCGUCUACCAACGCAGCUUCAGGAUGGAGAACCAGGAACCCACCAGAGACUGUUGAUCCCAGCCAGGAGUAUCUCAUCCCAUGAGCUACAUUAACCCCACAACAAGAUGCAGGAUUAUAAAGCUACCUGAAACAGCAUAGAGACAACCUUGAAGACCGUCCUGCUCAGCACAGCCCCGAAGGGCCCAGAAGAGCACUAGACACGCUCUCAAUGAAACAUCUGUCCUGUCCCCUUCCUCUCUCCUGUCCCUUCCUCUCUGUUUCCUUGCCCUUUUCACUCUUCUGGACACAGCCUCUGAAGACUAUCAUGUCCUGCACAAUUACAAUCUUGUUGUCACCCU
This 407-nucleotide long non-coding RNA is filed under the name Rattus norvegicus (Norway rat). RNAcentral's name for it is "long non-coding RNA NONRATT021910". Lineage: Eukaryota; Metazoa; Chordata; Mammalia; Rodentia; Muridae. The record is from RNAcentral.